CCAUCCAUUCCGUUGGAUGAAGCCAAUAUCCCCGGCUUUGCCAGUAAUGGCAUUGUUCGGAAGCGGAUAUAAAUGGAACCCUAUUUGGAGCAAAUCCCGUGAGGGAGAAGCAAAACUGCCAGCUACAAGGCGGUUAGGGUG
Molecule: non-coding RNA, 141 nt
Organism: Roseburia hominis A2-183
Lineage: Bacteria; Bacillati; Bacillota; Clostridia; Lachnospirales; Lachnospiraceae
Source: Rfam